AGCCGGGUGUGCAGCGCCGCCCCCGCCCGCCCGACCCACUUCAUGAUGGACGGGAAGAAGAUUUUCAAGCCCCCAAAGGUGUUGAAGCACAUGGCGAACAGGAUAUUGUGGCAGGCCUCCUCCCGGGAGAUCCCCAUCCGCUCCGCCUCGUCCAGAGCCGGCGCCGCCGCCGAGUAGAAGAAGUCGUAGAGCCGCCGGUAGUCGGAUUGAACCAGGCCGGUGGGUAGGCGGACGCUGUGGAGGAGAACGUCCUCCAGCAGAUAGGGCAGGCCUAGCGUGAGAAUGGGACCGAGCUGGAAGAGAACCCAUUUGUUCACCAGACCGGGGCCGUCCGAUCCAAGCCCGCCCCCGGCGGGGUCCUUCCCGAAGAAGGCCCUGCAGACGAAGUUGAAGGAGGCCUGCUCGUUCGCCGAGCUGAAGUUGGCGGCUCCCUUCUCUGCGAGCUCCGACUCGAGGGCGUCGAACGCGGUGCCGAACGAGCUCUGGAACUCGGGGAUCAAGGUGUUCCGUGAGGACCCCAGCAGGUAGAAGAGGAAGUUCUUGAGCAGUGCGUGGUUGGGCUCCGACGGGUCGAGGUAGGAGAGCACGCGGUAGCCGCCGGUGAGAUCCAAGGAG
RNAcentral lists this long non-coding RNA (615 nucleotides) under Spirodela polyrhiza (greater duckweed). RNAcentral's name for it is "long non-coding RNA (SPOL_LNC001336)". The record is from RNAcentral. Lineage: Eukaryota; Viridiplantae; Streptophyta; Magnoliopsida; Alismatales; Araceae.